This is a non-coding RNA of Rattus norvegicus (Norway rat), 4411 nucleotides long. The record is from RefSeq and is a predicted model, not a curated record. NCBI's taxonomy places the organism in Eukaryota, Metazoa, Chordata, Mammalia, Rodentia, Muridae.
UUAAAGCUCACAAAUGUAUCUGCAGUUUUUCCCAUUUUUGGUAUUUUUAUAAGGACAACCCCUUCAGGGGUCCCAGUUCACCUUUGCAUCUACAAUACCUUUACCACCAAUAAUAUUGAUACAUUUUCAUAUUUCUAAUAUUCAGGCAAAUCAAAUGGGAAUAUUUCUAGUUGACCCAAGGAAAAGCUGCUUUUAAUGUGUAUUCAGCUAUCAAAUAAAAACCUUCAAACAAUGGAAUGACAGGUGUGCAGUCUGAGAACUGGAGAUUGAUGUCUAUAGACUGGACACUAUCUUAACACCAGGAGGCCUGCUUCUGAGUAGGGAGAAGCUUUCCAAUGUUUCGCCAAAGCCCUGGGAAUACAGAAGUCCAUAAGAGAGCAGUCUUCUGUCUGUAUGUAAAUAAUUUUCUGUGAAAGAAAGCCAAACAAUAUCAAUUUACUUUAGGGUUAUAUCAACACACCAAUAUCCAAUUUCCUUGUGCUAACUGAUCCAAAAGGGGGCAGGCUGUAUCAUUUGGGAACUGUCUGUCUCUUGCUGAAGUGGUAAGAAAAAACUGUUGUUAAAUUAAGAAUGAGAAUUUUCAGAAAGGCCAUGGUGAACGUUCAUCACCCUUAGAUGCAGAAUGCCUUAGGCUUUCUCUGAAGGGUGUAUUUGGGGAAAUGAUAUCUAAAUUCGAUGAUAGUCUCUCUAAGUACAUGCAAAACAGUUCAUCUUCAAUAAAAAGACCCAGGAUCACUCUGCAGUGAAGUUACAAUAGGCAGAGCUGGGAACACAGACCACUGUUGCUUUCCUUUCCUGGAAACCUACCUGUGUGCUUCCCCUGAACUCAAGGAUGAGCUUGCUGGCCACAUUCCGCUUACCUCUCACAGUCGGACAAUCAUGAAUUACCAUAUCAUGAUACAAGCCUAGAACUGACACCGCUUUUGGAUAUGACUCUCUUUUAAUCCACAGACAGGUUACGCUGCACACCACGAGAAGCAAAGGGGUGGCUAGUUCUGUAUGUGCCGUCAAAGCACCCCACCCCAAAGUAGUGGGUGGGACAGGAGACAAGGUUCAUAAAGACAAAAGGCAAAGUAACAUCAGUGAGGCUUUAAUUUGGCCAUUGCUGGUACUUUGCUUCACAAUAUUAUGUUAAUAUAUGUCUCUCUGUUCAAAUCAGAACAGUUCUUUUGAUGUUGUCUUUGAAUUCAGAAAUAUUUACUAUUCAUCAUCAGACACAGACAUAUGAAACACUGCCUAUUGCAUGACUAUCUCUUAAGGGCAGCAGUGGUAGUCGAAUAGUCCAAGCACGUGAUGGAGUGGCUACCCGAGACGAGAGAAGCCUAAUACAAAUAAAGAAGAACAAACAAGUCCAGAAUUUAACGGAUUACUCGGAAGCCCUUGGUUGGUGAGUUCGCACAUGUGUCUGGGGCAGCUGUCUUGUUGGCUGGAAAUUAGAAGAUCUGGGAUGGUCUCGACUUGGAUGGGAAAGUUCUCCACGUGCCUGUAUCAUAGAAUGUUCUUAUGGGGAUCAUAAGCAAGGCACUACAAAAUUUUUUCAAAGUCAUUUGCAUCUGAUUUGCUGCUUUUGCAUUGGUUAAUGCCACAGGAGGCUCGAUUGCCAUUGGUGGCAGAUUUAUCUUCUGGCCUUAUGCUACAGAAAAGAAACUCACAGUAAGUUGAUGUGAAACAAAAUGGAAUUUAUUAAGCAAGGUGGGCUUGACCCUGGAAGAAGAUAGAUUCCCAAGGCUUAGAGAGGGACAGAGACUCACAACCGCCACUCACAACUGUCUAUAACUCCAGUUCUAGGAUAUCUGACACCUUCUAGCUUCUGUGGGCAUCAGCACACAGACACACAUGUAGGCAAAUACUCAGACACACACAAAUAAUAAUAAAAACAUUUUAACAACAGAGGGAUAUAUCCUCAUGUGGGCACUAAGGAAGAUGCAUGCCUACAUGUCUUAACAAUAGUUAUAGAUGCGAUUUUGUUACUUUUGAAAUUAUACUGUUCAAAGAAUAUGAUUUAUGGCUCUGAAUUUAAAAAGUGAGUGAAGUGUUAAAAUUAAGUGAAAAGAAGGUAAAGCCAUUUUAUUCUUAUCUUUAUUAAAGAAAGAACAUUACAUAUUACAAAAAGAAAGAAAUGCCAGGGAGAUUUAAAGUCAAAGGUCACAGAGUUUAAGACAUGUGCAGUACGGUCUCUGCACAGGCUGUGUUUGUGGUGGUUUGGUCUCUUGGGUUGAAAUUCUUGGGACACUCGGCCACCAAGGGACAGAAAGCAGAGCAAGGAUUCAGGAGCUUUUUCUGUUCCCAAGUCCCAUUCCUUCUCCCUGUGUUCUAUCCUUCCUCGGGAAGCCACUGCAGAAGAGCUCGGAUGACUAAUUCACCCACAGAGAUAAUCAGUCCAUACCUAAUUUUUCAUUGUGAAUUGUAGAAAAUUUUGAAAUCCUGAAAGGUAUAUAAUUCACCACAUUUCAGUAUCUAGAACAAAAUAGCCAACCAUCUUCCUCCCCUGUCAUUUUCUCUAAUUAUAUAUUGCACAUUUUCUCAAUUAUCACACGGCACGUACUUUCAUAAGUGAGAAUGCUCUUAAGCACCCUGCUUCUUUUAAGCCUGUACAACUCUCUGACUUACUGUUUUGCUGUAUUAAUUUAAAACAUUUUCUAAUUAUGAAACCUUUCCGAUAUACAAGAUUGCAUCCCGAGGAAAGCUCAUUUAACUGGAAAUUAGCGGGUCAAUCAUUCUGAAGUCUCGCAUUGCCUCUGCCCAAAGUUCUUUUGUGGAACAUUUGUUCUAGUCCCUACUCUCAAUCACAGAAACAGAGUGCCCUCUCCAACCAUUAGUACUUGCCUGUUUUAUUGUAUUUAGAUGAUAAGAACGAAGGCAAUUACUUAUACAGACCAGAGUCAGGAAGUCGACCUGCAAGAUGACCUAACACAGGGCUGGGCAUUAGACAAGUUCCAUAUAAAUAUUCGUUCUUUUUUUUUUUUUUUUUCGGAGCUGGGGACUGCCAUAUAAAUAUUCGUAAAAGGCUUAGAUCUGUGUUUGCAUUAACCCACGUGACCACUCAUGGUUGUAUUUAAUGUUCAUGGUUAUGGUUUCUUUCCCCCCUCUUUUCUCCCUCCUUCCCUCUGUUCAUUUCCUUUCUCUGUGUUAUUCUUUUGUUUCUCCUAUCAGUGUCUAGUUUCACAUUCUAUUUUAUAAUUACUAUGUUCACAGUUCUUUCAGAGAACGCUUUGGGGAAUUGCCCUAAAUUAAGCAAACUAAAUUACUAGUUUCCAGGUCUUCAGAUCCCCACAAUUGUACUCACUAAUGCAGUGGGAAAGGAAAACCAAGAUCCCAAGACAAAGGCAGGUCUGCACCAACCUUUCAACAUUUUUAAGUGUGUUCAUUCUCUUACGACUGCAUCUCUCCUGAUUACUGAAGAUUUUUCUAUUUCUUCUCAAAUGUCAAAGGUAAAGUUUGCCCAGAUUAAUCUUAAAAGUCUGCUGUAUCUGGCGGUGAUACACUAACUAGGACCCCCUGUCAGUUGUCCUCUCAUCCUGCGGCUGUGCUGGCUCUGUCGGGGAGAUGGGAGAGUUUCUCCCACCUUGAUAAGAAGCCGUAAUUGUUUGUUUUUGAUCAAGAGUGGCGCCAAACACCAACGUGACUGUGUGUGGAAGACAAAUGUGUUCACCCCUCACUUUGUUUUAUUGGCAACAAUUAAGUUGAUUUAAAAAUAAAUCUAUGCCGCCCCUGUGUGCACACCAUACUCCGACAUUCGUAAUUGCUCCCCGUGUGUAAUGGCCUAGAUGUUAAUUUUAGAUAGUUGGGAUGGCAAGCCAUAUAUUUUUAAACCAUGGAGUCAUUUUUAAUUAAUGUCUAUUUGUUUUAAUUCUGAAGCUCUGUUGAAAUAAUAAUAGAAGUUUAAAGCACAAGCUAUGGCAACAAAGAUACGUGAAUCCAUCCUACUGGCUGUAAAUUACUUGUGGAAUCUUUAUGACUUUUUAAACAAAAAUUAUUAUUAAUAAACAGAAUAUUAUUUAAAGCAUUUUUAUUAAAUUUGCCUCUGGCUUCUUCCCACAAGAGGCCAAUGUUGCAGUUCCAUUUCAUUUUCUAUGAAGGCAAGGGAUGGGGUAAUUUGAAAACUCAACUCAAAGGGAAAGAUGGUUGUGUCACUCAUGUAUACUAAAGUUCUACUUGAGAUCUGUAGCCAUUAAUUAAAACGUGACCCAUCGGGAUGCUUCCGGCGCUUUGUUCCGCUAUAAUGAGCUGCCCCGUUCCGCGCAGUCACACACAGAGCAGGUAGAUCCGUUGGCAUAACCACACAAGAGCCGUACUAAACAUGGAGUUAGGGGAAAGGGAGCUGAGAGCAUACGUAAGAGCAGGAAGCAGAGCCAUGUAAAGAGCACAAAGAGCAGAAAGGAACGUAGACUGAAGGAUGCUGGUCCUGGAA